AGAGUUUGAUCCUGGCUCAGAUUGAACGCUGGCGGCAUGCUUUACACAUGCAAGUCGAACGGCAGCACGGGCUUCGGCCUGGUGGCGAGUGGCGAACGGGUGAGUAAUGCGUCGGAACGCGCCGAGUAGUGGGGGAUAACGCAGCGAAAGCUGUGCUAAUACCGCAUACGUACUGAGGUAGAAAGUGGGGGACCUUCGGGCCUCACGCUAUUCGAGCGGCCAACGUCUGAUUAGCUAGUUGGUGGGGUAAAGGCUCACCAAGGCGACGAUCAGUAGCGGGUCUGAGAGGAUGAUCCGCCACACUGGGACUGAGACACGGCCCAGACUCCUACGGGAGGCAGCAGUGGGGAAUUUUGGACAAUGGGCGCAAGCCUGAUCCAGCCAUGCCGCGUGUCUGAAGAAGGCCUUCGGGUUGUAAA
Molecule: ribosomal RNA, 419 nt
Filed under: uncultured bacterium
Lineage: Bacteria
Description: bacterial SSU rRNA
Rfam family: Bacterial small subunit ribosomal RNA
Source: RNAcentral